UCGAGAAUUUUCUCAAUGGGCGAAAGCCUGAAGGAGCGACGCCGCGUGGGGGAUGAAUGGCUUCGGCCCGUAAACCCCUGUCAUUUGUGAACAAAUUGCUUCACCCAACACGUGGAGCAUUGAUUGUAACGGAAGAGGAAGGGACGGCUAACUCUGUGCCAGCAGCCGCGGUAAUACAGAGGUCCCAAGCGUUGUUCGGAUUCACUGGGCGUAAAGGGUGCGUAGGCGGUUUGACAAGUCUGAUGUGAAAUCCCGCAGCUUAACUGCGGAACUGCAUUGGAAACUGUCUGACUAGAGGAAUGGAGGGGAGACUGGAAUGCUUGGUGUAGCAGUGAAAUGCGUAGAUAUCAAGCGGAACACCAGUGGCGAAGGCGAGUCUCUGGACAUUUCCUGACGCUGAGGCACGAAAGCCAGGGGAGCAAACGG
RNAcentral lists this ribosomal RNA (426 nucleotides) under uncultured bacterium. Its description in RNAcentral is "bacterial SSU rRNA". It matches the Rfam family "Bacterial small subunit ribosomal RNA", at positions 355 to 775 of the family's 1533-position model. The record is from RNAcentral.